CCUACGGGUGGCAGCAGUGAGGAAUAUUGGUCAAUGGGCGUAAGCCUGAACCAGCCAAGUCGCGUGAGGGAUGAAGGUUCUAGGGAUCGUAAACCUCUGUUAUAAGGGAAUAAAGUGUGGGACGUGUCCUAUUUUGGAUGUACCUUAUGAAUAAGGAUCGGCUAACUCCGUGCCAGCAGCCGCGGUAAUACGGAGGAUCCGAGCGUUAUCCGGAUUCAUUGGGUUGAAAGGGUGCGUAGGCGGCUUUUUAAGUCAGCGGUGGAAGUCUGUGGCUCAACCAUAGAAGUGCCGUUGAAACAGGGGGGCUUGAGUAUGUUUGAGGCAGGCGGAAUGCGUGGUGUAGCGGUGAAAUGCUUAGAUAUCACGCAGAACCCCGAUUGCGAAGGCAGCCUGCCAAGCCAUGACUGACGCUGAUGCACGAAAGCGUGGGGAUCAAACAGGAUUAGAUACCCGGGUAGUC
RNAcentral lists this ribosomal RNA (460 nucleotides) under uncultured bacterium. Its description in RNAcentral is "partial 16S ribosomal RNA". It matches the Rfam family "Bacterial small subunit ribosomal RNA", at positions 338 to 795 of the family's 1533-position model. The record is from RNAcentral.